UGGGUCUCAUCUAGGUCAAAAGCCAAA
Molecule: non-coding RNA, 27 nt
Filed under: Rattus norvegicus (Norway rat)
Lineage: Eukaryota; Metazoa; Chordata; Mammalia; Rodentia; Muridae
Source: RNAcentral